GAAAUGCGAUAAGUAAUGUGAAUUGCAGAAUUCAGUGAAUCAUCGAAUCUUUGAACGCAGCUUGCGCUCCUUGGUAUUCCUUGGAGCAUGCCUGUUUGAGUAUCAUGAAAUCUUCAAAGUAAAUCUUUUGUUAACUCAAUUGGUUUCUACUUUGGUAUUGGAGGUCUUUGCAGCUUCACACCUGCUCCUCUUUGUUCAUUAGCUGGAUCUCAGUGUUAUGCUUGGUUCCACUCGGCGUGAUAAGUUAUCUAUCGCUGAGGACACUGUAAAAGGUGGCCAAGGUAAAUGCAGAUGAACCGCUUCUAAUAGUCCAUUGACUUGGACAAUACUUUUAUGAUCUGAUCUCAAAUCAGGUAUGACUACCCGCUGAACUUAAGC
Molecule: unclassified non-coding RNA, 378 nt
Filed under: plant metagenome
Description: partial contains 5.8S ribosomal RNA, internal transcribed spacer 2, and large subunit ribosomal RNA
Rfam family: 5.8S ribosomal RNA (bases 1-105)
Source: RNAcentral